CCAGUCAAGAUGAAAAACUUCUUCUAAUGGAAUCCAGCUUGAAAGCUACUCAAGAGCAGCUAACUGAGCAAAUAGCAGAAACAGUUCGCCAAGAACAGAACAGUAGGAAACCCCAGGCAGAGCUGAAGACAGUGACAGAAAGGAUUAUUGCCUCCGAAGAAGAAAAAAAUGAUUGCAAGUUCCCAUAGGUGUCAUCCUUAUGCCAUUCUCUCUUUGGAAAGCUUCUAAAUUCAUCAUCAUGUUCAUCACACGAGUAGCAUUAUGUCUUGGGAUGUUCUGACAAGACAGACAAUUUUGGAGAAGGUGUGCUGGACACAGUUGUAGUUCUCAACAAUUGGAUGCAUCUGCUUCCUAUUCGGAACGUGGUUCUACUUACAAUCUAAUUGUGCUACCCUACAGUGCUCUAUUAUUUUCUGAGUCUGAGCCUACAUUUUAGGCCAAUCAUCGAAGAGGACAGGAAGACUUGGAAAUUGAAGGCUACACGUAGACAUACUCGUCUGGUUUCAUAUAUAUAUAUGUCUGUGGGGCUGCUCCAUAUUGUGUAAGCAUGCCGUCCUAUUCUUUAGGCUUGUCCUCACAAUUUCCUGGGAUAGGUCCGAAUUAUUGUCUCCAUAUGAGGUGUGAUAUGUGUCAUCUAAUGAUAAAUGGUUGAAUGAUUUAAGUACUUAUUUUGGCUUCAAACUGACUUUGCUCCUUUCACUGGGUCUCAGGCUAUAUAGUUAGGAUAUUUUGUCCAGAUGUAUAGAUGGAGACUUUAAAGAAAACAACAAAAAAAAAUCAUUCAGACGCUACUAAGUUUAACUACAAAAAUAUCACUGUGAGUAGUGAUUAAAUGUGUAUCCACGAUGUACUGUAAUAAAUGAGAUAACAAUGUAAAGCAACUAUUACAUAUGUAAAAGCUAAAUUCAAGUUCGGAUCUCAUCUUUUCCACAUUGACUGAGUAUAUGGAAGCUUUGUUGUAAUGUCAUCCCAUUCCCUAGAAAACCAUCAAUUUAGUAACAUACUCAUGUAUAUAUGCCAUCAUCACUUGGAGUUAGGUGUACCUGAACUCUGGAAGCAGCUGUAUAUUUAAGUUUGGUGCAUACAGCUGAAGUCUUUUGAGUUUCUUACUCUUCUCUCUAGAGAUCAAAUUGUUAAUUAGGAACUUACCCAAUCACUUCUGCUUAGCAUAGGAAAACCUUACUGCAAAGGCUAGGACAAAAGAUGGAUCCUACCUCACAACCAAAUUAAUGCGUAUUCAUCUUAAGGUAUAAGGCAUAAAAUCCAAGAUUAUAAAAACUUCAAAAAUAUAUUUUAAAUAUCCACUAGAAAAUACUCAAGUUCAAGAUAAACUUGUUGGCUUGAGGAUCAUAGAGAAACAUGUAGAAUCUGAGAUGAAACAAGUUAUGGUUUUCUAUGUCCUAAAAGGCAGGGCCAAGAACAUGCUAUCAGGCUUCAUGUGAUUUGCAAUAACAUUGGUUUUUGGAAGAACCAAAAACUUUAUGCAGUAAUGAUUAAUUAUAAAAAAUUAUUUUUAAUUGGGAGGAAUAUUAAUGUAGAAGUAAAACAAAAUUAUAAGUUGAUAUCAACAAAAUAAUUUGUAUUAUCUUUUCUAUACAUCUUUGAAAUUACUGAUACAUUUGUAAGUCAGAGAUAGACCUAAUUCAGGGAACCUUACAUUAAUUUCUGGGAUCAAAGAGUGUCUAAGGAUUAUGCAAGCAGAAUAGUAUGCCAAUAUCUUCUUCUGAUACAGGUGGCUAUCAAAUUGAAGAUUUGUUUUAUGUUGGUUUCUAUUUAUUUUACUUUGCUUACAAUUCCUAUAUAAAUGUAAAUAUACCAAAAUACAUGUAAAGUCCUAUCUAAAACCAGUAACUUUCUGAAUUAAAAACAUAGUUAUAAUAAUUAGUUAUAAAAAUAAUAUUUAUUGUCAACAAUCGCAUACUAAGUAGUUCUGCAAAUUCUUAUUUCUAGAACAAAACAAUCACUCACUCCUUUUUCUUACAUUGUCCUGAGAUUCUGCUUUAAAGUGUCCCAAACCACCCAGGCUUGAAGAGCAACCAAUGUCUGUAGGAAUUUUUGACAGGCGAUAUACUUCCCUAAAUCAUAAAUCUCAUCUAUGGAAUAAAGUGGUUCAACUAGAUCACUUCUAACAUCAGAUCCCUGAGGCAUGAUCUGGCUCUAGGUCCAUUAAAGGACUUUCUUUCCUGUGAUUACUGCGUAUAUUCAUACUCGGUUGUUAUUUUUUAUCCAGUAGAAAAUUUUAUUUGGUAUUCAAACACAAAAUUUCAUUUGGAAAUGAUAAUGUGUGUAUGCAUGUAAGUGUGUGCAUAUGAUCAAACAAAACCAUAUAAAUGUCUCCCCGGAAGAUCAAGAGUAAAAUGAAUCUCAUCUAUUGCAAACUUCCAACACAGAAUCCAGUAUUUCCUCACUCUUACACUUCUACUUUGGACAGCAAUACCUAUGAAGGCUAGACAGAUCUCAUUUAUUAAUUAUUCACCUCUAACUCAUAUCUCAAACUUCAUCCACAUACCCUUUAUCGUUUCCCAUAACACUUCCUAAAACCUACGAUUAGUCUUUGAAAUAUCUAUUAAAGGUCAUCAGUUUCCAAAGUAAUUGUGAUUUAAUUUCCCCCAUUUUUUAAAAACACAUUUUUUCAUUGAUUUCAGAGAGGAAGGGAGAG
Molecule: long non-coding RNA, 2659 nt
Organism: Myotis davidii
Lineage: Eukaryota; Metazoa; Chordata; Mammalia; Chiroptera; Vespertilionidae
Exons: 4
Source: RefSeq, a predicted model, not a curated record